RNAcentral lists this unclassified non-coding RNA (3410 nucleotides) under Leishmania donovani. RNAcentral describes it as "gene:LdHU3.29.3250(CDS-product:Leucine_Rich_Repea t/Leucine_rich_repeat_putative)". The record is from RNAcentral. Lineage: Eukaryota; Euglenozoa; Kinetoplastea; Trypanosomatida; Trypanosomatidae.
CGGUGCAAGGUGUGGCCUUCACGCUUAUUGCCCAUCGCUUUCACAUUGACGUGUGCCUCUGCUGCUGCUGUAGUGUCCGCAUCUCUCAUCUUUUUUUUUGCGUUGCUUGUAAGGCACUUAUAUCCGCCUUUGAAGUGCGCCUACGUUUUGCAUGUGUGUGUGUAUGCAUUGUGUGUUUUGGUGCUCUUCGCUAAUAAUAAGUCUCAUCCCCUUCAUGCGCGACGUGCGUCUGAACACGCGUUCAUGCACGUGCGUUUUGGCGUGCUCAGACUUCUGUCUCCGUUUUUCGCUGUUCGCUUUACAGUAUAUUGCACAUAUAUAUAUGUGCUAUUUAUAAUAAUAAUAUAUAUACACCUAUAUGUAUUUAUUUAUAUAUAUAUAUUUUUUUUGGUUUUGCUGAUCGUUUUAUCGUCGGAGCGAAACGCUGUGCAUCAACGAGCAGCGUCUGACAUCUACCGCGAUAGGACACAGGUGAGAGAAGCGAGAAAGAAUAUUCCCACAAGAGCCUCACCGGGUUCUACGAAGUUGUGCUUUCAAGUAGGAUGAACACGGCGACUGUGAUGAUGGCGCGCGGCCCGGUCACCCCACACCGCCGCCUUAGUAGAUGCACCAGCGCGCUCUGUUGUGCCAUCGCGAUCGCACUGUUUUGUGCUCUUUGUUGCGAAGUCAGCGCGCUGGAGGUGGGCAAGUUUUUUCCCGCCAAGACGCGCAUGAGCGCGAAGGAUCGUUACGAAUCUGUUCUGGCGCUGCAGUCUCUGCAGCGCGCGAUCGACGACCCUGAGCUGCAAAAGGAGGUAGAGUCCGCGCUCAAGGACACAACGAGGGGCUUCGACAUGUGCCGAUCGGCGCUGUACCGCUGCAACCGCGUGACCGGCGCUCUCGAGGAGGCGGUCAUCGAGGGCAUGCGAGACGGAACUGUGAAGUGGGACGAGUAUCCCAAGUCGGUGAAGCGGAUCCGCAUCACGGACUCGAGGCUGAGGCAGCCACUCGUGCUCUCCAGCUUACCUGCGAACCUUGAGGAAUUCGUGGCAACGAACGUGGAGUGGGAGUCCGACUCGAUUCUUCAGGCCCCAGGGAGUGGCGAGGGGGGAGUUGUGAAGGGGCCCUUGGCUCAUCUUCGCGUUUUGCAAUGUGACAACUGCGCUCUCGUGAAGGCAGAGGUGACGACGACGACACCCCAGCUGGAGUGGCUGCAGGUGUUGAGCCUUUCCGGCAAUCCAGACUUGUUCAUCGAUCUCCGCGAGCUGCCGCGCAACCUCCAAUCUCUGCAGCUCUCGUACACACAGCUGGCUCACUCCACGGUCAGGGAGGUAUUGGAGACUGCGCCGGCGUUUCUCUCGCUGCUGAAUAUCAGCUUCACCGGUGUUGCUCUGACCCUCGACAUGCUGCCGUCUGCACGGAAUCAGCUGAAGGCGUUGGAUGUGUCCGGCCUGGAAAGCAACAACCCGGGGUCACCUCUGUCUCUCUCUCAGCUGCAAAGCGCGUGUGGCGAAAGUGGCUUCAGCCUCGCAGAACUGUACCUCACCAGGUGCAGCCUGACGGGCACCCUCCCUCACCUUCGUAACUGCACGAAGCUGAAGGUGAUGGAUGUGUCGCACAACCUCCUCGAUGGCGCCGUGUUCGCUCAACUCCCCGAGAACAUAGAGUUGCUGCGUCUCAACAACAAUGCGAUACAGGGUGGCCUGCGCACCAGCGAACUCCCGCGCACUCUGCGCUCCCUUGAUCUUUCUGAAAACCAUUUCACGGGUGAGGUCGACCUCUCGGCACUGCCGCCGCAGCUGCAGUACCUCAACAUUGGCCACAAUCACUUCAGCGGCCAGGUGAACCUCACGCAGCUACCCGAGUCUGUCAAGUUUGUGUACAUGGAGUAUAACAACUUCACCGGCGCGGCUGACCUCGUCGACCUCCCACUCGGCAUCCGUUUUAUCAUGGUCCACCACAACAACUGGGACUACCUCAUGCCCGCCCCGUGAGAUGGGCCAGCACCAUUUAAGGCGAAAAAGCCGGCGGAAGGGUGCGGCGUUCUUAUUGUGGUGCUCGUGGUGGCAGCCUCAGCUCUCCGUCUUGCUCACCCUCUGCAUCUGAGCCGUUCACCUCCGUCUUCGUCUCUCUCUUUCUCCCCAUGCCAGUGCGCACGUACGUAUCUGCUUUUGGUGGUGAUUAAGCGCGGGGGUGGCGUAGCCAGGCGGUGGCGGCAGGGUUGGGGGGCAUCAAGUCAACAUUGUGCCUGGUUUAUGAGCAGCGAGCACCUUUGGGCUGUAGCACGUGUUGAGGAGAGUAAUAUCCAGCGCAUUCUUGUGUGACUAUCAUUUCGUGCGCCAUGUUACCUUCUCCUGCUCGCCCUUUUUUUUCCUAACACCAUUCGGUUACUUUUUUUCUGCUGCUUUUAGGCGUCGCCGCGCGGGAGAGGCAAGACUUGAAUGCAUGCUGCAUGUUAAAUAUUAUGGCAAACAACGGGGCCGACUCCGCACAGGCUCACACAAUGGAGCGCAGCACUAUCACCGCUGGCGUGCAUCUGCCUACAUGUUUGUCUAUGGUCGGAUGCGGCUGUGCAUUUCACUUUCUAUUCUGACUAGAAAAAUAAUGCCCUUGAUGCUGCCGGCCACCCACCGCGGGUGCCUGGGUGCGGCACCCAACGCUGUGCGGAAGCCAAGCGCCCACACCCAGCGCUUCGUGUGGUGGGCCUCGGACUCUUGGUGUCGGCGGACAGGUCUGGGCUGGCGGUGUGCCGAAGAGACGUGCGGCCUUGAUGGUCGCGUUGGGGCCCGCUCGCUACGAAUCGUGCCGACGGCUCAACACGUGUGCGCAACGGCGUGCAGCGGGCGCGAGUCUCUGUGCGGCGCCGGUGGCGCCGCACGUAUCCGAGGAAGGACGAGAAUGCAGGGCGCAUGACCCGACUCGACGGCAGACGGCUCGUGCUGGACGACGAGGAUUUAGCGGUGGCGCAGCAGAGGCAGGUGGGCUGCGGCUGCGUGCGCGUAUUCGCUGAGCUGCUCGCGGUACUAUGGCAUGUAAUCAAGAAAAGGGGUCUGCCGUUUUGUGUACUGACGUAAUGCUUGGAUUUUGGUGGAUUAUGGCUGCAGCGGUGAGCGCUGGUGGUCGUGCUGGACGUACUGCAUAUACGCAGAGGUUCUGGAUUGCUGUAGUACAUCGACCGGCUCUGUGUUGUACAUGUAGGGAAUGAGCUAGACGAUGCCUGCCGCGGUGAAAGUGUGCACCGCUUCUGGGGGUUCUGUGCACUGCCAGAGCAUCUAUUCGUGUACGCAUGUCUGCACCCUCGUCCCUCUUUGGUGGUUUUUGUUCAUGUACGCCGUUACCCACUUUUUUUGUUCGGUUUCCGGAGGCUGCAGGGAGACCUUGAUUCUGUGUUUGUCGGGCGGUGAGCGACGAGUGCUGCCGCGACCCAAGAG